This is a non-coding RNA of Dermacentor andersoni, 706 nucleotides long. The record is from RefSeq and is a predicted model, not a curated record. Lineage: Eukaryota; Metazoa; Arthropoda; Arachnida; Ixodida; Ixodidae.
CUGACAGCAGCAGGAGCGAAACGCCGGCGUUGCACAGCGGUGUCACAGAGCCACCGCGCUGCGAUCACUUCGGCGACACAAUCCAAAUUUGUCGGACAUCUCAUUCUGUGCUGGAAACACUGGGAGGCAGGAAGUUUGAAAAAACGGCCACUGCCGCCCGCAAUGUCUCGGUCGUGGGCUGGUCGUGGGUUCGUUAUGCCAGUUGUGCGUCAUUCUAAGCCGUUCUGUACAUUUAUACUGGAUAUUAAUUGGAGUCAUUUAGCUGUGCUGAUGCUGUUUGCCGUGUGUUUUGCAUCAGUGCUUCGUGACAUCGGCUGUAUUGCGUGUUUUCGCCGACGGCUUACUACCACAAUGGCGGGAUCUGCGUUCGCCGCCUUCGUGUCUCGGUGCGUCUUUGUACGUCGCACGUUCGGAUAACACUUUUUCCGACAGCUGGACAUCCUUCUUGUACCUUGGCGCUAGCUGGAUGACGGGACAUCAUGAUCAGUGUAUUGCUUGCCUAUGUCUACAAGAACCGUCACGCGUGGCCUGUGACAGCAAGCUUUUGUGGGCAGCAAGUGCUCUCCUACGAAGGCUGGCCUACUCUGGCAGCGGCGGCAAUCAUCUUCAAGAUUUAUCCAUAAUCACCUUUGCUGCUUUUUGUCACUCUUGUUUACACUUUCUGCGUCUUUUCUAAUUUAUUAGGUAAUAAAGUAUGAGUAUGUGA